Molecule: long non-coding RNA, 1843 nt
Filed under: Olea europaea (common olive)
Lineage: Eukaryota; Viridiplantae; Streptophyta; Magnoliopsida; Lamiales; Oleaceae
Description: long non-coding RNA (OEUR_LNC015681)
Source: RNAcentral
UUUUGUAGCUCCCUUGUAACAUCCAAGGGAUCAAGCUGUACUUUCCGUCUGGUUUGGUUCAACUCUUUUUCAAGUGAUGAAAUUUUUGAGGUAUUUGAAGACAACCUUUGACGAGUCUUUUCAAGCGACAUUCUUUCUUUCUCUAUCUUCUUGUUAUAGAAAUCAACUGUAGCUCGAAUAUCAGCAAGAUCGUUUGUAGUCCGACUUAAGUUUAAUUUGGCUUGUUCCAGUUCCAGUAAAAUGGAACCUGGAGCAGACUUCUCUUCCAUUUCUGCAGCAGAAUUCACAUUUUUAUCAUCUGUUUCUGCAUUGAGGGCUUCAUUUAUCUCUGAUGUUUCUUUCUGCAGCUUCAAUCUUAGUUCUUCGACAGUAUUUUUAGUGGUUUCCAGUUCCUUUAAAACAUCAAGGGUUUCUCUUUCUUUCAUUAUCAACUCUGUUUCCAACUGUGCAGCCUGUUCCUCCAUAUUUACAAUGUCAAGAAUUUCACUACCGUUCUGCCAUUCGCAAAACAUUUUAAACGCGAUUAGACACACAAAUCGACUCAGUUCUAGGAAAUCAGACUUCAAAAUUAGAAACUAGUUAACUAAAAAGUUGAAUAAGCAGCAGAAUUUCUCAAGUCAAAAGCAUUAUAAAGUACUGAAAAUAAAUGAAAAUCUUCUCAUAUAAGUGUGUGUUUUGUGUGAGAGAAGACCUGAGAGGAUUGUUCAUGGGGCUUUUGAGAACUGGGUUUCCAAAAUCCUAUUCCACCAAAUCGAUUCGCCGCAUCUUUCACCGACUCGAAAGGCGCCGACGUGUCAAUCUCAGCCCUUCCCCUACUCAUCCUCUCCUCCGAACCCGGCUCAUUUUCAUGGCCCAUUUUCAGACCCGAAUCAGUCCGGUCCCCAUUGGCUUCAAGAUUUUCCGCAGACAUUGCAGAAACAAGAAAAACGCUGCUACAAGAUCCCUCAAGAACAAAAAAUGGCUUAUUCGUAUGUAGUUAUAGUGUGUUGUGGGUGAUGAGUACGGCCAGAACUGAUCAGAGAGUUAACUUUUAUAAGAAAAAGUGAGUGUACCGUUUGGAUCUUUCUCACCAGAGGUUAACGUAGCUAUAGGGUUAUUGUUCGGAUCUCCAUUUCCGAAGAGCCUCCUCGACUUCCAAUUUACCACUGUCUGCUGCUUCCACUCUACUCAAUGCCUCUUCCAAAGCCUUUUUGCUAAUUUUAACUUCUUCGGUUGCUUCCUCUACCUUCUUUAAGAUUUCAGUGUUCGACACAUUAGCUUCAUCAACUUGAACCAUUGCGUCCACUACUCUCCCAUUACAGGCUUCCUCUGCUUCUCGAGCCCUCGAGAUCAAAGAUGAAUAUUCCUCGACAGUGAUAGUUACACGGUCGGAUUUUUCCUGAAUAUCUUCAGACAAGUUUCCACUCUUCGACAGUGCUUCGAUUUCAGCAAGUGCCACAGCUUCAGAAGCCCUUGCUGCUGCUUUCAUUUUUUUAGCAGCAAUCAAUCUUAUCUCAGCAGUCUUAAUCCGAGAUUUCGUCUGUUCGAUCUCAGAUGUUGCUUUCAAAACUUCUGCCUUUGCAGCUUCUCCUACCUCCUUAAACUUCUCCGUCUCAGAAGCUAACUUUUGUAGCUCCCUUGUAACAUCCAAGGGAUCAAGCUGUACUUUCCGUCUGGUUUGGUUCAACUCUUUUUCAAGUGAUGAAAUUUUUGAGGUAUUUGAAGACAACCUUUGACGAGUCUUUUCAAGCGACAUUCUUUCUUUCUCUAUCUUCUUGUUAUAGAAAUCAACUGUAGCUCGAAUAUCGGCAAGAUCGUUUGUAGUCCGACUUAAGUUUAAUUUGGCUUGUUCCAGUUCCAGUAA